RNAcentral lists this ribosomal RNA (443 nucleotides) under uncultured bacterium. Its description in RNAcentral is "partial 16S ribosomal RNA". It matches the Rfam family "Bacterial small subunit ribosomal RNA", at positions 338 to 795 of the family's 1533-position model. The record is from RNAcentral.
CCUACGGGUGGCAGCAGUGGGGAAUAUUGGGCAAUGGGCGCAAGCCUGACCCAGCAACGCCGCGUGAAGGAAGAAGGCUUUCGGGUUGUAAACUUCUUUUGUCAGGGACGAAGCAAGUGACGGUACCUGACGAAUAAGCCACGGCUAACUACGUGUCAGCAGCCGCGGUAAUACGUAGGUGGCAAGCGUUAUCCGGCUUUACUGGGUGUAAAGGGCGUGUAGGCGGGACUGCAAGUCAGAUGUGAAAACCACGGGCUCAACCUGUGGCCUGCAUUUGAAACUGUAGUUCUUGAGUACUGGAGAGGCAGACGGAAUUCCUAGUGUAGCGGUGAAAUGCGUAGAUAUUAAGAGGAACACCAGUGGCGAAGGCGAUCUGCUAGACAGCAACUGACGCUGAGGCGCGAAAGCGUGGGGAGCAACCAGGAUUAGAUACCCCAGUAGUC